GCUACAAAAGAAAACAGAUUCUAAUUGCACUUAUGCAAAUAACUAUACUGCCAUAAGUUAAGAAUUCUAGCAACUAGUUUUCAAAUUCUGGAGAAAUCAGGUAGAGAGAAACAAAUAUGCUCCAAAUUUUGUUCACAGGAGUAUACUUUACUCAACUGUUAAAAGCUAUAAAUAGCUCAAAAGAAAAAUUUCCUUGUCUCUAAAAACAAAACAAAGGAUCAGAAACCUGCAUGUAAGAGCACCUGUUGGAGUUUUACAGCUGAUUAUAAAACCACCUUCUAAAGAGGACCAAAAUAGGCCAGGUGUGUGGCUCACAUCUGUAAUUUCAGCACUUUGAGAGGCCAAGGUGGGCUGAUCACCUGAGGUCAGGAGUUCAAGACCAGCCUGGCCAACAUGGUGAAACCCCAUCUCUACUGAAAAUACAAAAAAAUUAGCUGGGCAUGGUGGUGUAUGCCUGUAAUCCCAGCUACUCGGGAGGCUGAGGCAGGAGAACCGCUUGAACCUGGGAGGUGGCAGUUGCAGUGAGCCAAGAUCGUGCCGCUGCACUCCAGCCUGGGCAACAGAGUGAGUCCCCAUCUCAAAAAUAAUAAUAAAAAUAUAUUUAAAAAAGAGGACCAAAACAACAAUUGUGCAUGGAAGAAAAAAGUUUUAAGGCAGCCAUAGUCAAAAGACAAAACUGACAAGGAAAUUUUUUACCUCUGUGGCACACAAUAAUUUUAAUAUAACAAUUAUGAUUAUUACUGAUAAUGUACACUAAGUUAUAUUAGAAUUAUAGGAGUUUCACAUAAUUUUGGAACAUACACCAAUAACAUAUUUAUACAAAUACAGCCCAAAGAAAACCAAACACCAUUUCACAUUUGACAAUGCUUCCUAUAUAAUUUUUAUACCAAAUAAGCCAAAUUAUGUCAUUUUAGGACUUUAGGGAAACUAAGAUCUUAAAGGAUUAAUUAGGUUAGAAAAAUACAUAAUUUAUAAUUUGAUUUUGGAAAGCUUGUCAAAUACAAAAGGUUUAAAACACUUGACAUUACAAAAUAAAAUUACAGGUCAUCGUAAAGUCAUUUAUUUAAUCCAAGUGAUAAUUCAAGGAUUUCAAAAAAAGCAAAAACCUUCAUUCUUUGAGAGAGGUGACUUAACUUUCUAAACAAGAAGCCCUAAUAAAAACAGCCUGAAGCCAAUCACAUUUGAUUUUCAAAAUUUUGUAAACAAACUAUAAGAUUUAAUCUUGAUUAUAAAAUAUAACUUCCAUAAGCCUUUUAUAACCUUUAUGAAGGAGUUGGUUAAUGCUUCAAGAAAACCUUGCUAAUCAGACACAGGGGUCCAUAUACUGAUUUUGCAUCAGUGUGCCUUUGACUUGAAUGAUUAGUUCAUAGAGAAACUGAACUUACUGGAUCUUUCAAAAUCGGCCCUUACAAUCUUACGCGCCCACCUCUUCCGCAAUAGUCCCUGGGCCUUGAGGAGUUGAAUAGCUUUAAUUUCUUGCCUAGUGCCUCAGGAAUGCAGUUUAUUUUGAUUGGCAUCUUCUACGGGGCCUUAAGAUGAGGCUUUGAUUGUCAUCAGUGUUUGUGAUUUUUCAGACACAGGAGUUAAAGCCCUGUAACUCAAUGUUACAAGGACUUUAAAAGCAUACACAGGAAGAUACAUGGAUGUAAUAACCUUGAUUUUUUAAAAAUUAGCUCUUUCUUCCCUAAGCAAACCAAAACUUAAUAAUAAUAUGACAACUUGAUUAUAUAAAAGCUUUUGGGGUGUGUGUGUGUGUGUGUAUAUAUAUAUAUAAAAUCUUAUCAUGACUUACACCAAUGUUCAUGACAUGCUUGGACUUUCUGGUUUGUCCUGAACAUCCCUCCUUGUUAAACAACCAGUUAUUUUAUUUUAGGACUAAAUUUACCAUAUAAAAUUCUUUCUUAUAUAAAAUUAUUUCUUUUUCAGCUUUUUAACCUUGAAAAAAUUCUUUAUUUUUAUAACUUUAUUUACAUUUUUUUUCUUUUCUGGUUCCUUUUACCUUGUUUUAUAUAUAACCUUUUAAUAAGCUUUGAAUUAGACAAAACUUGUUCACCAUUUUUUUAAAAAAGGACACACUUUUUUUUAAGCAACAAUGUUUUCCUACAAGAUAUAUUUAUUGGAAAAUACCCAAAUAAUAAAUUAUCUAUUAUUUAAUUUAAUAUGACUUUAUAUUCUAAAUUAUGUCCAGUUGGUCUAUAAGUAUUUAUCCCAUUACAUUUACCUAGUUAUUUUAUUAAUUGUUUACCUAGAUUAUUUAUAAAAACUGUGAUAGUCAUGAUUUAAAGUUAUGAAACUUCCAUUGCAAAAUUACAACUGAGACAGUGAAAAACGAUUUGACCUAACUGACUCCACCUUGCUCUUAACUUCCAAGCUGUCCUUGUUCAUUCCUGGGCAUAGGCCGAAUGAACUUUGGGAGGAACCUAGUUUAAGUUCAGCUUCGAAACAAUGACAAUAACAGUCCUUUCCCAAAACAAACCUCCUUAUUGUCUGUGGACUAAACUGCCUAAAGCCACAGGAUUAGAAGUUAUGGUAAUCUUACUAAAUUCAAGAUGCAGCUGUUUUCAUUAAACCCAUAUCAAUGUCUUAUUUAUUAAAAAUUACACAAGCAAAGAUCAUUCUGUUUUGGGCUGGGUUUAUAGUUUUAUAACCCCUAUGCCAAAUUUUGACACCUUCUGGUAUUUGGCAGGGAUAAGUAUAAAACUGUUUGAUUAAUAUAAUGCAAACAAAAAUGUAUGCUGGCAAUUCUUAAGACAUUUCUAAUACUACUUUACCAAUAAUUUUAAAGCUACUUUAUUUAUUAAAGAUUUUACUUAAGUUACAUAAAUUUGAAAAAGCAUUUGACUAGCCUUUUCUUUUUUAGUAUCUGAUUUAAGCACUUUUAUUUUUCUUUAAGCCAAGUAGAGCUCUUUUACAUAUUUUUAGCACUAAAACAUCGUGUACACAACACAUACAUACAUAUAAAGACGUAUUAGGCAUGCCAAUAGAAGUACAUUUUAUAGAUUUAUAAUGCCCCCCCACUUUUUUUUCCUAUCUUAGACUUUCAGAUUCUUGAUAACCUGUUUUACAACCCUAGGCAGUUGUCAGCUAAAUAGCCUUAAAUUUUUGCACAUUAAAGGAAACAACCCAGGUGAAAAUCAAAUAGCAAAAUUUACAUGAUAAGGUACAGAGAGGAAAAGUCUGGUGGUGUUAGAGGGAGAUGCUUUUAUUUUUCUUUGAGCGAUAUUAAACAUAAAACGAAACUACAUUCUUCCUUAACCCAAGAGUAGCCUCUGUUGCAAUAGCUAUUUUAGUCAAAAAAUCCGGUGAAAACAGAAUUCAGUCAACUGAGAAGUAAAAGGAAAAAAAAAAAAAAAACUUUUGCUACAAAAAAAAGACAAGGUCUUAGGAGAGAAAAACAAACAAGAAACAAAAACAUGAAGGCCUUUCAAAUACAAACAUGCACAAAACACACAUCAUGGAUGUUACUGUUUCAGUUAAGCAGACUUUCAACCACUGAGCUUCUUUAAAAACUUAAAAAAAAAAUCUUAUUACCAAAUCUCAGCUAGGACAAAGUGUUGCUAUUUCAGAAGUACAGCCAUUGCUCUUUGAGUUUGGUCUGGCUAGCAAAAAGCUGGCUGUGUUAUGUAAAUAAAGCCCCUAUAGUAAUUAAAAUUUAAAAAAAGUUUUUUAAGCUGGCUGUUUUCCUACCACUUCAGAGUCCUUGACCCCGUAAUUUAGGGUUCCCCUUCAGAUUUGACUAAGACAGAAACAAACAACAAAACAGUUAAGCAAAACUAACAAUGGUCACACAAAUUAUACAAUUUCUGAGUGCUCUAAGUGCAUUGGAAGAAAGCUGAAACUCCAUAAAAACAUCACCUGCCUUCCAUCAUCAUGAAAGCAGGAAAACUUGCCUUCCUUGUUGGGAGCAAGUAAAACUCCAAAAAAAGAGGUGUUGUACAGCAAAAUAAACUUCCGAUCUCUACCAAAUUUUAAGAGAUCAGGGAUUUUCUGGAGGGAGUCCUCUCAGACCUCAGCAAAUUGUCCUAUUGGUUUGAGCCAUAAAGUUAGCUCAUGCUGGUACCAAGCACCGAUAGAUUUGUCAAGGGUCAGGGGCAUCUCCACCCAGAAUCCAUUCAUGGUUUCCAAAAUGUGAACCCAGAAAAUCCGAGACAGGUCUCAGUUAAUUUAGAAAGUUUAUUUUGCCAAGGUUGAGGACACACUGUGACACAGACUCAGGAAGUCCUGAUGACAUGUGGCCAAGAUGGUUGGGGCAUACCUUGGUUUUAUACAUUUUAGGGAGACAUAAGACAUUAAUCAAUAUAUGUAAGAAGAACAUUGGUUCAGUGGGGAGGGAGCUUCCAGGUCACAGAUAGGUGAGACACAAACAGUUGCAUUCUUUUGAGUUUCUGAUUAGCCUUUCCAAAGGAGGCAAUCAGAUAUGUAUCUAUCUCAGUGAGCAGAGAGAUAACUUUGAAUAGAGUGGGAGGUGGGUUUGCCCUAAGAAGUUUCCCUAAGCUUGAGUUUUCCUUAGUGAUUCUGGGGCCCCAAGAUAUUUUCCUGUCACAGUUGACAUCCCCAACACAGUGUUUAGGGCUCAGAAAAAGAUACCCUAAAAUAGGGUGCUUUGGCAUGCUGAGUGCUUUGAAUAAAGGAGACUGAAGGGCCUCAGAAAUAAGAGAACAAAGGUCUAUCUCUGACCCACUGCUGCCCACCUCCCUUCCCUUCCAAAGCACAGGGAGGGAUUUUCUUUGAAGUUCUCUUAUUUGAUUAAGGGAAGUUUCUCCAGAAGGAAGGUAAUUGUCCUGGACACCCCUUCCUGGAAUCUACAUCGAUCAGAGAAGAUUAACUCAUAUUGCAGGACAGGAGAAUAAUUAAAAGUUGCUCAAGACAGCACACCUAGAUAGACUUUUUGCUUAUUCUUUCAACUAUAGUUAUGUGUCCAAUAACAAUGUUUCGGUCAACUGCAUAUACAACCAUGGUUUGAUAAGAUUUAUAGUGGACUUGAAAAAUUCCUAUUGCCUAAUAUACUGAAGGAAGAAAAUGUUUUAAUAUGCAUUUUGUGUACCCUAAGUGUGCUGUGUUUAUAAAGCCUACAGUAGUAUACAGUAAUGCCCUAGGCCUUCACAUUCAUUCACCACUCACUGACUCAUCUGGAGCAACUCUCAGCCCUGCAAGCUCCAUUCGUAGUAAGUGCCCUGUACAGGAGAGCCAAUUCUUAUCUUUUAUGCCAUAUUUUUACUUUCCUUUUUCUCUGUUUACAUAUGUUUAGAUACACAAAUAUUUCCCAUUGUGCUGCAAUUGCCUAUAGUAUUCAGUAGUCACAUGCUGUACAGGUGCGUAGCCUGGGAGCAAUAGGCUCUCCCAUAUAGCCUAGGUAUGCAGUAGGCUAUGCCAUCUAAGUUUUGUAUAAGUACAAUCUGUGAUAAUCACACUACAAUGCAAUUGCCUAAUGACACAUUUAUCAGAAUGCGUCCCUGUCACCAAGAGAUACAUGACUGUAUUCUUCUUCUUUUUUUUUUUUUUUUUUUUUUUUGAGAUGGGGUCUCAUUCUGACACCCAGACUGGAGUGCAGUGGCAUGAUCUUGGCUCACUGCAACCUUUACAGCC
RNAcentral lists this long non-coding RNA (5586 nucleotides) under Homo sapiens (human). Its description in RNAcentral is "HSALNT0277438". The record is from RNAcentral. Lineage: Eukaryota; Metazoa; Chordata; Mammalia; Primates; Hominidae.